GAAAUUUCUAAAGGAUCUAUAGCAGUUGCAGUCUACAAAAACAUAAACGAUAAAAUCCAUUACAGAAGUUAAAAAAUUGUCUAAAGACUAUCUAUGAAGCCUUCACUAUAUAACGCGCAAGCAUCAAACUUACAAUCGUUUGCACCACAACUAAACGAAGAGAUUUAACCUUUCCCUUCUCAUACCGUGGGCGCUAGUCCACCAUGAACACAAACACUUGAUAAGUAAUUGCUAGGUUUUCAGGUGAAUGAACGAUACGC
This 260-nucleotide unclassified non-coding RNA is filed under the name Hevea brasiliensis (rubber tree). Lineage: Eukaryota; Viridiplantae; Streptophyta; Magnoliopsida; Malpighiales; Euphorbiaceae. The record is from RNAcentral.